This 606-nucleotide ribosomal RNA is filed under the name uncultured bacterium. RNAcentral's name for it is "bacterial SSU rRNA". The stretch from base 1 to 518 matches the Rfam family "Bacterial small subunit ribosomal RNA", at positions 338 to 873 of the family's 1533-position model. The record is from RNAcentral.
CCUACGGGAGGCAGCAGUGGGGAAUAUUGGACAAUGGGCGAAAGCCUGAUCCAGCAAUGCCGCGUGAGUGAUGAAGGCCUUAGGGUUGUAAAGCUCUUUUACCAGGGAUGAUAAUGACAGUACCUGGAGAAUAAGCUCCGGCUAACUCCGUGCCAGCAGCCGCGGUAAUACGGAGGGAGCUAGCGUUGUUCGGAAUUACUGGGCGUAAAGAGUACGUAGGCGGUUAUUCAAGUCAGAGGUGAAAGCCCGGGGCUCAACCCCGGAACUGCCUUUGAAACUAGAUAGCUAGAAUCUUGGAGAGGUCAGUGGAAUUCCGAGUGUAGAGGUGAAAUUCGUAGAUAUUCGGAAGAACACCAGUGGCGAAGGCGACUGACUGGACAAGUAUUGACGCUGAGGUACGAAAGCGUGGGGAGCAAACAGGAUUAGAUACCCUGGUAGUCCACGCCGUAAACGAUGAUAACUAGUUGUUCGGGCACUUGGUGCCUGAGUGACGCAGCUACGCAUUAAGUUAUUCCGUCCGUCGGGAGGUACGGUCGGCGAGAUUAAACUACAAGAAGUUAGUACGGCGUGAGACGUGACCGAACGGACGACGACGAGGGAGGUAGG